GGAGAAAAGCAGGGGAUCGCAAGACCUUGCGCUAAAGGAGCGGCCGAUGUCUGAUUAGCUAGUUGGUGGGGUAAAGGCUUACCAAGGCAACGAUCAGUAGUUGGUCUGAGAGGACGGCCAACCACACUGGGACUGAGACACGGCCCAGACUCCUACGGGAGGCAGCAGUGGGGAAUUUUGGACAAUGGGCGAAAGCCUGAUCCAGCCAUGCCGCGUGAGUGAAGAAGGCCUUCGGGUUGUAAAGCUCUUUUAGUCGGAAAGAAAGAGUUGCAAUGAAUAAUUGUGAUUUAUGACGGUACCGACAGAAAAAGCACCGGCUAACUACGUGCCAGCAGCCGCGGUAAUACGUAGGGUGCGAGCGUUAAUCGGAAUUACUGGGCGUAAAGGGUGCGCAGGCGGUCUUGCAAGUCAGAUGUGAAAGCCCCGGGCUUAACCUGGGAAUUGCGUUUGAAACUACAAAGCUAG
This 465-nucleotide ribosomal RNA is filed under the name Nitrosomonas sp. enrichment culture. RNAcentral describes it as "bacterial SSU rRNA". It matches the Rfam family "Bacterial small subunit ribosomal RNA", at positions 198 to 644 of the family's 1533-position model. The record is from RNAcentral. Lineage: Bacteria; Pseudomonadati; Pseudomonadota; Betaproteobacteria; Nitrosomonadales; Nitrosomonadaceae.